Caenorhabditis elegans is the source of this 141-nucleotide non-coding RNA. Lineage: Eukaryota; Metazoa; Nematoda; Chromadorea; Rhabditida; Rhabditidae. The record is from Ensembl.
UCCGUUUUAAGUCACAACGGAUCAUAGAGAUAACAAAAUUGCGGAAAUUUGUGAGAAUACAUGUUGGGGAGAACGUACAGGAGACAGAGAACGCUAGAAAAAAGCACUGGGGCGCGUGAAUUAUGAAAAAGGGACAACAUG